UCUGGUAGAUCUGUCUCCAGGUCAGAUGGCUGGACUGAUGGCUGAAGGUCUGCCUGGUCUUCCAGAGAUUGUGGUCAUCAAUACGGUAUUUGAUUAUCUGCUGGUGUCUCCUGAGGAACGAGGACUUCCUGCUGUUCUUCAAGAACUGCUCUUAAUCUCAGAGAAGGUCUCUAUCUCCUGCAGCUCCUACACACUGAUAUUUGAGAGUCUGUUUAAGGCUCU
Danio aesculapii is the source of this 222-nucleotide long non-coding RNA. RefSeq lists it as uncharacterized. Lineage: Eukaryota; Metazoa; Chordata; Actinopteri; Cypriniformes; Danionidae. The record is from RefSeq and is a predicted model, not a curated record. The transcript has 3 exons.